This 253-nucleotide ribosomal RNA is filed under the name uncultured bacterium. RNAcentral's name for it is "partial 16S ribosomal RNA". It matches the Rfam family "Bacterial small subunit ribosomal RNA", at positions 524 to 776 of the family's 1533-position model. The record is from RNAcentral.
UACGGAGGGUGCAAGCGUUAAUCGGAAUUACUGGGCGUAAAGCGCUCGCAGGUGGUCCGUCGCGUCGUGCGUGAAAGCCCCCGGCUCAACUGGGGAGUGUCGUGCGAUACGGGCGGACUGGAGGCCAGUAGGGGGAUGCGGAAUUCCGGGUGUAGUGGUGGAAUGCGUAGAGAUCCGGAGGAACACCAGCGGCGAAGGCGGCAUCCUGGACUGGCCCUGACACUCAUGAGCGAAAGCGUGGGGAGCGAUCCGG